UACGUAGGGAGCAAGCGUUGUCCGGAAUCAUUGGGCGUAAAGCGCGCGUAGGUGGCUCUAUAAGUCCGUUGUGAAAGUCAAAGGCUCAACCUUUGAAAGCCGAUGGAUACUGUGGAGCUAGAGUACGGAAGAGGCGAGUGGAAUUCCUGGUGUAGCGGUGGAAUGCGCAGAUAUCAGGAGGAACACCAAUAGCGAAGGCAGCUCGCUGGGACGUUACUGACACUGAGGAGCGAAAGCGUGGGUAGCAAACAGG
This 253-nucleotide ribosomal RNA is filed under the name uncultured bacterium. RNAcentral's name for it is "partial 16S ribosomal RNA". It matches the Rfam family "Bacterial small subunit ribosomal RNA", at positions 524 to 776 of the family's 1533-position model. The record is from RNAcentral.